Molecule: ribosomal RNA, 164 nt
Filed under: Lilium amabile
Lineage: Eukaryota; Viridiplantae; Streptophyta; Magnoliopsida; Liliales; Liliaceae
Description: 5.8S ribosomal RNA
Rfam family: 5.8S ribosomal RNA
About the family: 5.8S ribosomal RNA (5.8S rRNA) is a component of the large subunit of the eukaryotic ribosome. It is transcribed by RNA polymerase I as part of the 45S precursor that also contains 18S and 28S rRNA.
Source: RNAcentral
UAUACGACUCUCGGCAACGGAUAUCUCGGCUCUCGCAUCGAUGAAGAACGUAGCGAAAUGCGAUACUUGGUGUGAAUUGCAGAAUCCCGUGAACCAUCGAGCCUUUGAACGCAAGUUGCGCCCGAGGCCUUUCGGUUGAGGGCACGCCUGCCUGGGCGUCACGC